RNAcentral lists this long non-coding RNA (1238 nucleotides) under Helianthus annuus (common sunflower). Lineage: Eukaryota; Viridiplantae; Streptophyta; Magnoliopsida; Asterales; Asteraceae. The record is from RNAcentral.
CCACGUCCCUCACAUCGGUUACCUGCAAAACCCUAGCCUUGCUCGACACCAUCUAUAGCCCUAAUCAAACUCUACGGCGACGGAAUCGUCCUCAAUAUCGAAGAUCCAAUCAAAUAGAAUAACACCAGGAAGAACCCGCUGGAACAGGGGCAUAAGCCAUAGACGGUCACCGAAACAGGGUGACCGGCCGUAGGCUUUGGCCGGAUCCCCUUCCGUUCACGCUUUCUCUCUCUUUCGCUUCGAUUCUCUUUCUUUCCUCUUCUCCCUUUGGCCGAUUCUCUUGUGUGUUUUUUAGAUUUUUUUAGGUUUAACCGAAGGAGACACUGAGGUUAUAGACGUCAGCAACUAAGGUAUUCCAACAGAAUUCCGGUGGAUAAGAUCUGUCGUCCGUGUCCCGUUUUUAUGUACAUCGACAAACACCGAGGUUUUGACCCACUGGUGUUCGACGGAAUGCUUUUAUACGAUUCUUUGGUUUUAAAAUUUCGACGGUCAGAUAUUAGUAGAUUUUAUUCAUUGCAACAUUUGCUGAGUAUGUACCUUCAUUCAUAGCUGUUAAAGUCGGAGGGCGCUCUUAAGGCGCAAAAAAGUGCACACCAUAUAAAAAAAAGCGCAAGCUCUUUCUGCUAAAUACUUCCAGAUAUUUGUUAGUUAGAACUGGUGAACACUCAUUGUUCAUUACAACAAUGUGACAAGUAAGAAAAUAUAUUUUAAGUAAUAUGAUUUAAAAAAGUGACUUAAUGUGAAAGGUGUAGACAACUUGCAAAGGUCUUGUACAAAAUUCACCAUGACACAACAAAGGUGUAGACCAUAUAUAGGUUCUAUAGUCAAAGCCAUAAGGCGCCCAUUUGGUGCGCAAGCAAGGCGAUGGCGCCUUAGGUAGACCUAAGGUAACGACCUUGCUCUAUGUGCAACAAAAGGUACGCAAAAUUGUUUUAAAAUGUGAUUAUGGUUCUAUAUCAUCAGUUGUCUUUUGUUUUGCUUAUAUUCAGCUCAGGAUCAGAAGAUUGCUUCAGUCAUUAAUCAGUGCACCAUGAAGUAAUUACUAAGCUUUGCUUACAGUUAUGUUAAAAGACUUGAAACUAUGUAUCAGAGUUAAGUUUUAUGUAUAUAUUUUAUUGUAGCCGCUUUGCAAAUACUCAUACAUUUCGUGUCAAAAGACAUCUUGGGAAAAAUAUUCUUUCCUUGCGGUAUAUGUUCGUGUUUGUCUUUGCUUACGUUUUACGUUACGUUUACAAACU